This 274-nucleotide ribosomal RNA is filed under the name Pseudoalteromonas shioyasakiensis. RNAcentral's name for it is "partial 23S ribosomal RNA". It matches the Rfam family "Bacterial large subunit ribosomal RNA", at positions 455 to 732 of the family's 2925-position model. Lineage: Bacteria; Pseudomonadati; Pseudomonadota; Gammaproteobacteria; Alteromonadales; Pseudoalteromonadaceae. The record is from RNAcentral.
AUCAUCUAAGGCUAAAUACUCCCAACUGACCGAUAGUGAACCAGUACCGUGAGGGAAAGGCGAAAAGAACCCCUGUGAGGGGAGUGAAAUAGAACCUGAAACCGUGUACGUACAAGCAGUAGGAGCCCACUAGUUGGGUGACUGCGUACCUUUUGUAUAAUGGGUCAGCGACUUAUAUUUUGUAGCGAGGUUAACCGAUUAGGGUAGCCGUAGGGAAACCGAGUCUUAACUGGGCGUAUAGUUGCAAGGUAUAGACCCGAAACCCGGUGAUCUA